CUCUAGGCGGGAGUCUACGGGCGGGGGGGACACACUAAUCCUCAGGCUCCUGCAAACAGUUCUGCCUUCCCCAUUCCUUCCUGCAGGCAAGGCACGCAUUUGCCUACUCAAGGUGCCAAGAAUUCAGGCAACAAAGAAAUCUGCCCAUUCAGCUGAACUGACCCUUUCUCCAACUUCGGUGACAUUCGGGUCCUUUGUGCGAGCCUGUGUGCGUGUGGCCAUUACCUCGACCGCGAAGCAAGCGUUGCACUUCCCUCCCUGCCUGGCCUCUCUCCUGCCACUUUCCUGUUUGGGGAUCCAUCCACCCCCGGCCUGGUCCUGCCUGCCUCUCCCAGGAGGCCCCGGCAUCUUCCUCUGUGACCCCUCUUGCUGGCCACAGCUUCGUCCUGCCUUCCUGCACCUCCUUGGACAUCCCCACCGAAGCAGAGGCCGGUCACCUCUUGUUCCUCUGGAGAAACUCCCAGCUCCAAGUCGAGAUCAGAGGAGUCUUGGAAAGAUAGUGACGUUCAUAACAACUCCUCUCUCCUCUGUCUUGAAGAGUGGCGGCCACGGCUGGUACCCGGCCCUCUGGCCUCUGAGGUCAGAAUGUGCCUCCCGAGAAGCACAUUCACCCUCAACAAAGCCCCUGCCUGCGGCCGCUCGGCCUCAAGGAUCCCACCCCCUCUGCUACAGAUCUCCCCCGCCAGCCAGGGCAUCCCCAGGAGAAGCAAACUCUCCAGCAGUAGAAAUUGAGAUGUAAAACGUUGAUUAUUUUAUUGGGCUUAAUAGGAGAAGAACAACAGCCAGCCGACAGGAUUUGUUGUCAAGGUUAUUUUCAG
This 818-nucleotide long non-coding RNA is filed under the name Felis catus (domestic cat). RNAcentral describes it as "lncRNA (ENSFCAG00000048771.1)". Lineage: Eukaryota; Metazoa; Chordata; Mammalia; Carnivora; Felidae. The record is from RNAcentral.